AGCGAACGCUGGCGGCAGGCCUAACACAUGCAAGUCGAACGAUCCUUUCUGUUUUAGUGGCGGACGGGUGAGUAACACUUGGGAACGUGCCUUUAGGUUCGGAUUAUCUCAGGGAUACUUUUUCUAAUACCGAAUUUGCCCUUCGUGGUAUAUAUUUUUCGCCUUUUUAUCGGCCCGCGCUGGAUUAGCUAGUUGUUUGCGGGAAUGGCUCACCAAGGCUACGAGCAGUACCUGUUCGGAGAGGAUUAUCAUCGACAUUGGGACUGAGACACGUCCCAAACUCCUACGGGAGGAAGCAGGGGGGAAUCUUGCGCAAUGGGCGAAAGCCUGACGCAGCCAUGCCGUGUGAAUGAAGAAGGUCUUAGGAUUGGAAAAUUCUUUCACCGGGGAAGAUAAUGACGGUACCCGGAGAAGAAGCCCCGGCUAACUUCGUG
RNAcentral lists this ribosomal RNA (434 nucleotides) under uncultured bacterium. Its description in RNAcentral is "partial 16S ribosomal RNA". It matches the Rfam family "Bacterial small subunit ribosomal RNA", at positions 29 to 507 of the family's 1533-position model. The record is from RNAcentral.